AGCAGCCGCGGUAAUUCCAGCUCCAAUAGCGUAUAUUAAAGUUGUUGCAGUUAAAAAGCUCGUAGUUGAAUUUCGGGGUCAGUAGGUUGGUCGUGCCACAGGUAUGAACUGGUCUCACUGAUUCCUCCUUCCUGAUGAACCGUAAUGCCAUUAAUUUGGUGUUGCGGGGAGACUGGACUGUUACUUUGAAAAAAUUAGAGUGUUUAAAGCAGGCUAACGCUUGAAUACAUUAGCAUGGAAUAAUGAAAUAGGACGUUCGGUCUUAUUUUGUUGGUUUCUAAGAUUGACGUAAUGAUUAAUAGGGAUAGUUGGGGGCAUUAGUAUUCAAUUGUCAGAGGUGAAAUUCUUGGAUUUAUUGAAGACUAACUACUGCGAAAGCAUUUGCCAAGGAUGUUUUCAUUAAUCAAGAACGAAAGUUAGGGGAUCGAAGACGAUCAGAUACCGUCGUAGUCUUAACCAUAAACUAUGCCGACUAGGGAUCGGAUGAUGUUAAUUUUUUAAUGACUCA
This 508-nucleotide ribosomal RNA is filed under the name uncultured Glomus. RNAcentral describes it as "SSU rRNA". It matches the Rfam family "Eukaryotic small subunit ribosomal RNA", at positions 569 to 1078 of the family's 1831-position model. The record is from RNAcentral. Lineage: Eukaryota; Fungi; Glomeromycota; Glomeromycetes; Glomerales; Glomeraceae.